ACAGUUUAUACGGCGCUGGCCUGCUGUGGUUUCCUGAAUCUGGCAGAGAAAUGAAGCUGUUCGUUUCUACUUCACCCAAAACUAUGUCUCCAUGAUUCAGUUUUUUGCUGGUGUGCAGAGGCCGAAUUUAAGCAACACUCCUGAGCAGCAAUUCCACAGGUCUGAAUCAGAGUAAUGAGAACUUGAUGUACACUUUCUGACUUGAUGCACCGUUUCUGGCUUGGAGAUGAAGGAGGCCUUGCAGCAAGUGAUGCUGGUGGAAUGUUGGACUGGGGAGCAGCCCCAGCUAUCAGUCAGAAAGGAAACCAGAGACCACAGUCCUAAACCUGUAAAAAUACUGAAUUUUUCUUGAAAUAUAAAUGCUUUGAAAUUAAACAUGGAAUGGAAUCUGACUUCUCCCAGAACCUCCAGAAGAACUCAGCCGGAGGGACCCUCUGAAUCAGAUUUGUGUUAACUCUGAGCAGACCAGCCAUGCGGUACCAGUCUUUUGACCAACAGAAAUGGUGAGCACAAAGAACAGAAGAGGGGGAAGUAGCCCCUGCAAAAAAAAUUAAGUGCUGUUACUGCCAGCUGUCUUGGAUGGUUUGCCCAGUUUUUGAGUGAUUAAAAGAAAAGUUACAAAGUACAAAACUUCACCUGCUUAUUUAUAUGGGACUUUGAUGUUAAAACACAGAACUUGUUUUGGCAUGGAUGAAAUAUACAAGUUUACCUCAUUAAGCCAGAAGCUAUGCUACCAAAAUUAUUAUUUUGAUUAUAAUUAUGUGAUUUUUUGAAAUCACAAAAAGUAUAUUGAAUAAAUAUAUUUAACUUAGACUAAAAAUGUGUAUAUUUGCUCCUGUGUUACUCUAGUAAUGCUCUUUAUUAGGCAUUUCUAAGAAACUAAAAACAAAUCUAAUUAAGACUGGUCUGCUGUUCUUAGCAAAUAUUAAUUAGAACUAUUAAAGCUGUAGGUAAUCAGCAAAUUUUCAACUAUCAAAUUAAAUCCAACCUUAAAAAGAUGAAUGCUUUUGUUUAUUUUAUAUUUUGAGGGUUUCCUGUAUUUUUUUCUCAAUGAUUAAAAUUCUAUUGAUAAGGCAGGUGGAGUAAAAGGGACCUUUGUAUUCCAGACUUCUAGGCUUUAAUUUGCAUUUGUUCUAAAGGGAAAUCCUACACUUACAUGUAGAAUCAGAGUUAAUGGCAUUACUAUUUUACAAUAACAAGUUUAAGAGGGAAGUAGUUAACUAUUAGCUUGAUCUUAAAAAUAUCAAAGGUUUUUCCUGAAGUUUGUCUCACCCAAAAGUUUAUACACAUUAAAAACCAAGAGAUAGCCUUGAAAGCUAUUUUCAUGUUUCAUGAAGUCAAUCAGCACUUCCUAUUGACUGUGUUUCCAAAAUACACCAAAUUUUUGGCACCUCUUUUUCUGCUGCCAUAGGUCUUGUGAGAGAACUGUGGUCUCACAAAAGCUUCCUAAUAUAUAUCUCUCCUUUCACUCUCAUCUUUUCAUCUGCUUUCAAAUUUACUAGCCUUAAAAAAAGAAAUAUUCCCUAGAAUAGUUUGUAUAAGUUUGAAUUUAUCUCUUUAUAAUUUGGUAAGAAAUCCUAUAAAACAUUUAUGUAUUCAGUGUUUGGUUGUUUCCAUUUUUUAAGUUUAUUGAGAUGAAAUUCAUGACAAAGUUUAUGAGGUGUAAUACAUGCACAAUGUUGAACAACUACCAACUCUAUAGAUGAAGACUGUUUCAAGCACUGCCUGAUUAAUCCCUUUACCUAUUAAGUUUCUUCCCAUUUUCCUUCCCCACCUUCCAGCCCAAGCAAUUACCAGUCUGAGUUCUGCAUCUAUGGAUUUAUCUAUCUCAGAUACUUCAUGUAAAUUGAAUCAUAGAAUGUAUGACCUUUUUGUCUGGCUUACUGCACUUAAAAUAACAUUUUGGAGGCUUAUCCAUAUUGUAUCAUGUAUCAUUCUGCAUAUUUUAUUCAGUUACGUUGUAUGUAUAUAUCAUGUUUAUCCAUUGGUCCAGAGAUGCACAUUUGAGCUCU
Non-coding RNA from Sus scrofa (pig), 2012 nucleotides. NCBI's taxonomy places the organism in Eukaryota, Metazoa, Chordata, Mammalia, Artiodactyla, Suidae. The record is from RefSeq and is a predicted model, not a curated record.